Molecule: transfer RNA, 69 nt
Filed under: Actias selene (Indian moon moth)
Lineage: Eukaryota; Metazoa; Arthropoda; Insecta; Lepidoptera; Saturniidae
Also listed under: 3 other names
Description: tRNA-Gln
Rfam family: tRNA
About the family: Transfer RNA (tRNA) molecules are approximately 80 nucleotides in length.
Source: RNAcentral
UAUAUUUUAGUGUAAGAUGCACAAUAGUUUUUGAUUCUAUUAGAUAUAGUUUAAUUCUAUAAAAUAUAA